Molecule: transfer RNA, 75 nt
Filed under: Psalidodon fasciatus (banded astyanax)
Lineage: Eukaryota; Metazoa; Chordata; Actinopteri; Characiformes; Acestrorhamphidae
Also listed under: 1 other name
Description: tRNA-Leu
Rfam family: tRNA
About the family: Transfer RNA (tRNA) molecules are approximately 80 nucleotides in length. Their secondary structure includes four short double-helical elements and three loops (D, anti-codon, and T loops). Further hydrogen bonds mediate the characteristic L-shaped molecular structure. tRNAs have two regions of fundamental functional importance: the anti-codon, which is responsible for specific mRNA codon recognition, and the 3' end, to which the tRNAs corresponding amino acid is attached (by aminoacyl-tRNA synthetases). tRNAs cope with the degeneracy of the genetic code in two manners: having more than one tRNA (with a specific anti-codon) for a particular amino acid; and 'wobble' base-pairing, i.e. permitting non-standard base-pairing at the 3rd anti-codon position.
Source: RNAcentral
GUUGAGGUGGCAGAGUCCGGUAAGUGCGAAAGACCUAAGCCCUUUUUUUCAGAGGUUCAAAUCCUCUCCCCAACU